AAAGAAAUCAGUUCAGCACUAAGUCACUUUGUCUUUAUGGCAAAUGUGAGAUGCAGUGUAUGGAAUGUUCAAUUUCUAGUAUGAGAAAUUAACGAUUUAAGUCCUUCUUAAAUGAGGCCAUUUACCCAUAGAGGGUGCCAGGCCCGUAUAACGUUAAUGAUUACUAGAGAACAUUUCCAAAGAGUCGUGUUGCUUGAUAGUGCAGCACUAAGUGGGUGGUAAACUCCAUCUAAAACUAAAUAUAACCAUGAGACCGAUAGUAAACAAGUACCGUGAGGGAAAGUUGAAAAGAACUCUGAAUAGAGAGUUAAAUAGUACGUGAAACUGCUUAGAGGUUAAGCCCGAUGAACCUGAAUAUCCAUUAUGGAAAAUUCAUCGUUACGAUUGUAAUAAUUUCAUUAUUAUAAGAAUAGCGUGCAUUUUUUCCAUAUAAGGACAUUGUAAUCUAUUAACAUACCCAAUUUAUCAUAAGAUCAAUGGCUUAAGUUUAUUCAAAUUAUUUUGCUUGCAUUUUAACAUAGAAUAAAUGCUGUUGAUUUGAUAAAGUGUUGAUAGUUUUAUUUGUAUAUAGUGCUUGAAUAUUUAUAUUCUAUAAUGGCAUAUUGAUCAUUGAUCUUUGUGUUUAUUAUAUGCGCUUAUAUGAUUAACAAUGCGAAAGAUUCAGGAUACCUUCGGGACCCGUCUUGAAACACGGACCAAGGAGUCUAACAUAUUUGCAAGUUAUUGGGAAUUAAAAAACCUAAUAGCGAAAUUAACAUAACUUAUAUAAUGGGAUUAGUUUUUAGUGCUAUUUAUAGUCUAUUAAUUCAAUCCCGGGGCGUUCAUCAGUUAUACAUAAUAAUAUUUAUAUUAUUUAUGCCUCUAACUAGAGCGUACCUUGAGCAUAUAUGCUGUGACCCGAAAGAUGGUGAACUAUACUUGAUCAGGUUGAAGUCAGGGGAAACCCUG
This 948-nucleotide ribosomal RNA is filed under the name Polietes lardarius. RNAcentral's name for it is "eukaryotic LSU rRNA". It matches the Rfam family "Eukaryotic large subunit ribosomal RNA", at positions 97 to 866 of the family's 3401-position model. Lineage: Eukaryota; Metazoa; Arthropoda; Insecta; Diptera; Muscidae. The record is from RNAcentral.